This 1281-nucleotide ribosomal RNA is filed under the name Triticum aestivum (bread wheat). RNAcentral's name for it is "partial small subunit ribosomal RNA". The record is from RNAcentral. Lineage: Eukaryota; Viridiplantae; Streptophyta; Magnoliopsida; Poales; Poaceae.
AUGUCCCAUUCACCAAAGGUUCUAGUUGACACAACAUGCAACGUUUUCUCCAACUUCCAACAGGUGAGCCUGCAGCACAAGGAGCAGCUGGUGGAGUCUUCCGAGCUGAAUAUUCCUGGAGCCAGGCUAAGAUCCGAGUCAAGAGCCACACGCACCUUCUCUCUCGAGCACACAACCUCUUUUUCCCUCUCCAAAGAUCUCUCUCCUUUGACUGGAUCGGCUCGCCCGCUCGACCGCCAGGACCAUGUCGCUGCCGAGGCCGGCGCCCGCCAGCGACGACAGGUUGGAUCUGGACGGUGUGCUCGUAGCGCCUCUCACCAUCUGCAUGAGCGGGGCGGUGGAUUCAUCUGCGAGCACCUCAUGGCCGAGACCCCGGACUCCGUCCUCGCCGUCGACGUCUACUGCUACAAGAUCCGCCGCCUCGUCGACCCACCCCCGCCCCACCUCGCCCGCUGCAGCAACUUCCACCUCCUGAACGUCAAGAACAACUCUGGCCUGGAGGGCCUCAUCAAGAUGGUCGAUCUGAGAGGAAGUGGGAUCAACCUGCAGAGGAUUUGGUCGCCGCGGCUGCGGCGGCGAGACUGCCCAUCUUUCAAUUCCGUGGCACUACUGCAUAUCCUGCCGCCAUCGCUCGUUCCACCGGUGCUUCAGAGUGCUGCUGCUGCUGCUGCUGCAAUUCAGAAACUAAGUCAGGCAAAACUAGUGGCUGAGCUUAUAGCACGAGAAAUUGUUAUAAAUGAUGCUGAUCAAUCUGUACGGCAUAAGCUCACGAAACGGCAAACACAAAACGAGGCAGUCGAUCCCAACAGCAGAACAGCAACUAUGCUCGAGAUAGCAGGGAGGCUGUCCAAGCUAGAAAAUAAAGGAUGGAGGCCAAGGCGAACAAUCAUCGUCUGCAAUUGGGAUGCAGAAGAGUUUGCGCUGACAUGUCAAUGUUUGGGCCUGGAAGUCUUAUGCCCCGUGCAACACGACAACUAUGAAUUAAUCAAUGAAGCAAGCAGAAUGGUACCCGAUCCUGAUGAUCCGUCUCAUACCUUAGUGGCCGGUGCAGGAACAGAUUUUGCAGCUUUUGUCGAGCACAUUGGAGUCCCUUCACUUGACAUCUCUUAUGGAUUAUUUUCAGAAUACCCUGUCUACCACUCGCUAUACGAUGAUUUUGAUUGGAUGGAGCAGUUUGGAGACCCUUUGUUCCACAGACAUGUAAUGAUGAGAUCAUUCCCUUCAAUUAUGUCCCCUACGUGUCUGAACUGGAGGUAUUUUCUCUUCUGGCAACUGAGAUAG